Molecule: small nucleolar RNA, 133 nt
Filed under: Carlito syrichta (Philippine tarsier)
Lineage: Eukaryota; Metazoa; Chordata; Mammalia; Primates; Tarsiidae
Description: Small nucleolar RNA SNORA51 (ENSTSYG00000021381.2)
Rfam family: Small nucleolar RNA SNORA51
About the family: ACA51 is a member of the H/ACA class of snoRNA that guide the sites of modification of uridines to pseudouridines.
Source: Rfam by way of RNAcentral
GGGUUCUUGGUACUUACCACAGGGUGUGUUCUUAAACUGACCAUAUAGAAAGAGAAGACAGAGCAAAGCUACCCUAUAUACACCUCAGCCCAGGACCCCUGGCAAGUCUGUACUGUAAAGAGGGGGGGCAUGG